UUAAGAUGUGUGUAAAGAUAUGAGGCAGACGAUACGGCACAGCAACAGAUGUAGACAUUGUUUCACUUUUACCACACUGCACUGCUGCUUAACUUGUUGAUUAGACCCCACGAGGGAUUGCUAGCAAAAACUGUGUGGAAACUCAUGUGGUGUUUGACUCAAGCACCAAAGAUGGCAAUAUGAGAAGA
Molecule: long non-coding RNA, 188 nt
Organism: Etheostoma spectabile (orangethroat darter)
Lineage: Eukaryota; Metazoa; Chordata; Actinopteri; Perciformes; Percidae
Exons: 2
Source: RefSeq, a predicted model, not a curated record